RNAcentral lists this ribosomal RNA (305 nucleotides) under uncultured bacterium. RNAcentral's name for it is "bacterial SSU rRNA". It matches the Rfam family "Bacterial small subunit ribosomal RNA", at positions 334 to 655 of the family's 1533-position model. The record is from RNAcentral.
CACGUCCUACGGGGGGCAGCAGUGGGGAAUAUUGCACAAUGGGGGAAACCCUGAUGCAGCGACGCCGCGUGAGUGAGGAAGUAUUUCGGUAUGUAAAGCUCUAUCAGCAGGGAAGAAAAUGACGGUACCUGAUUAAGAAGCCCCGGCUAACUACGUGCCAGCAGCCGCGGUAAUACGUAGGGGGCAAGCGUUAUCCGGAUUUACUGGGUGUAAAGGGAGCGCAGACGGCAGUGCAAGUCUGGAGUGAAAGCCCGGGGCCCAACCCCGGAACUGCUCUGGAAACUGUGCGGCUAGAGUACUGGAGG